AUUGAACGCUGGCGGAAUGCUUUACACAUGCAAGUCGAACGGUAGAGGGGGCAACCCCUCGAGAGUGGCGAACGGGUGAGUAAUAUAUCGGAACGUGCCCAGUCGUGGGGGAUAACGUAGCGAAAGUUACGCUAAUACCGCAUACUAUCUAAGGAUGAAAGCGGGGGAUCGCAAGCCCUCGCGCGAUUGGAGCGGACGAUAUCAGAUUAGGUAGUUGGUGGGGUAAAGGCUCACCAAGCCAACGAUCUGUAGCUGGUCUGAGAGGACGACCAGCCACACUGGAACUGAGACACGGUCCAGACUCCUACGGGAGGCAGCAGUGGGGAAUUUUGGACAAUGGACGCAAGUCUGAUCCAGCCAUUCCGCGUGCAGGAUGAAGGCCCUCGGGUUGUAAACUGCUUUUGUACGGAACGAAAAGGUCUCUCUUAAUACGGGGGGCUCAUGACGGUACCGUAAGAAUAAGCACCGGCUAACUACGUGCCAGCCGCCGCCGUAA
RNAcentral lists this ribosomal RNA (496 nucleotides) under uncultured bacterium. RNAcentral's name for it is "partial 16S ribosomal RNA". It matches the Rfam family "Bacterial small subunit ribosomal RNA", at positions 30 to 523 of the family's 1533-position model. The record is from RNAcentral.